AUACGUAGGGUGCGAGCGUUGUCCGGAAUUACUGGGCGUAAAGAGCUCGUAGGUGGUUUGUCGCGUCGUCUGUGAAAUUCUGGGGCUUAACUCCGGGCGUGCAGGCGAUACGGGCAUAACUUGAGUACUGUAGGGGAGACUGGAAUUCCUGGUGUAGCGGUGAAAUGCGCAGAUAUCAGGAGGAACACCGGUGGCGAAGGCGGGUCUCUGGGCAGUAACUGACUCUGAGGAGGGAAAGCAUGGGUAGCGAACAGGAUUAGAUACCCGGGUAGUCCAUGCCGUAAACGGUGGGCGCUAGGUGUAGGGGUCUUCCACGACUUCUGUGCCGUAGCUAACGCAUUAAGCGCCCCGCCUGGGGAGUACGGCCGCAAGGCUAAAACUCAAAUGAAUUGACGGGG
RNAcentral lists this ribosomal RNA (398 nucleotides) under uncultured bacterium. RNAcentral describes it as "partial 16S ribosomal RNA". It matches the Rfam family "Bacterial small subunit ribosomal RNA", at positions 523 to 918 of the family's 1533-position model. The record is from RNAcentral.